This 329-nucleotide ribosomal RNA is filed under the name uncultured eukaryote. Its description in RNAcentral is "partial 18S ribosomal RNA". It matches the Rfam family "Eukaryotic small subunit ribosomal RNA", at positions 1470 to 1796 of the family's 1831-position model. The record is from RNAcentral.
CCCUUAGAUGUCCUGGGCCGCACGCGCGUUACACUGAUGCAUUCAACGAGCUUAUAACCUUGGCCGAGAGGCCUGGGCAAUCUUGUUAACGUGCAUCGUGAUAGGGAUAGAUUAUUGAAAUUAUUAAUCUUGAACGAGGAAUUCCUAGUAAACGCAGAUCAUCAAUCUGCAUUGAUUACGUCCCUGCCCUUUGUACACACCGCCCGUCGCUCCUACCGAUUGAAUGAUCCGAUGAAUAUCAUGGAUUGAGGAUUAUAGCAGGUUCGCCUGUCUUGAUCUUCGAGAAGUGAAGUAAAUCUUAUCAUUUAGAGGAAGGAGAAGUCGUAACA